Bos taurus (domestic cattle) is the source of this 1965-nucleotide long non-coding RNA. Lineage: Eukaryota; Metazoa; Chordata; Mammalia; Artiodactyla; Bovidae. The record is from Ensembl.
GGCUUCCAGUGUGGUUAAAAAGCUGCCAAGUGGCUGUAGAGAGAGGCUUCAGGCAGAAGCUCUGAAACCAGAGGGGUUCCUCAAAGGCCCCUGUAAGAUACGCUGGGCCCUUUACUGGGUGCAACUGGACAAAUGUCUCCUCCAGAAACAAAAUACAAAGAAACUAUAAGGGACUAAAAGUAACUGCAUGCAUUCACAGUUGGGGCAAAUUAUGAACAGCAGAUACAAAAAGGCCAAAACCCAACUGCCGCUUCUGAGAUGCCAGGAGCAAAAGCAGAGUACUCUGCAUGAUCCCUGCAAACAGCACCACUAAGGGGGUGAGCAGACCACCAGAGCCACCCGUCCAGCCCAACCCUCCAAUCUAUUCCUACACUCACCCAUUUGAGGGGCCAUCUCACUCUCCCCACCAGGAAUGAGCAAGGGCGCCAGUUACAUGUUUUCACUCCUUCGUGCUGUAGCACGGAUCCCAGUACAGCCUUGCCUAAAUUCUGCCAUCUGGCUUCUUAUCAAUUUCUGUUGAUUAAAGAGUCCAAGGACCCAGAUUGGCGGCAGCUGGGCUUCAGAAGCCCCUAGUCCUGCUAGAGAGUGAGUGGAGAACUCGCCCUGCCCAGCCUGGGGACCAACCAGCGUGUGGAGGGGAGUCACAUGGCUGUCAUCUUAUUGAUGUGUUUCACCUGCUUCCCCAGGACUGGGCUCUCUGGGAAGGCACAGAGGUGGGGUCUGGCGGGCAGAACCCAGGGUAUGCAGAUCCAAAAAAGGCUUGGUUCUGGUUCUUCUCCAUGAGAAUGGCAGCUCCCAUAUAGCGUCCUGAGUUUUACUCCAUUCUUCUUGGGGUGGCUUCUAUGCGUCCUGAAGAGGGCACGGCUGCCCCACUGGUUUUGCAUUUUCAAGAGAUGAUGGGCACGCUCAAGCUUCUCCUUGGCUGAUUCAUAGAAAAAGUCGUUGACGCCCUCCAGAGCCACAUCCUCUCCUUGGAAAUAGAAGCCCAGAGAGAGGACUAUAGUCAUUGCCACAUCUGGAAACUGUUCAUAGGUGCUGUCUCUGCUGCCACCUUCACGACAAGGGCUCCACUUGGUCCCAGAUUUGUAACAUCAUUUUCAAACUCAAAGUUUGGAGUUGAUGCAUCUGUUUGGCAGACUGGAUCAAACACCUGCAUCCCAUCUUUACAGAAGGCGAGGAAGGUCUUAUGGCCAGAGGUUCCUUUCCCUGGAAGUUGAGGGAUCUUCCAGACCCAGGGAUCGAAACUACAUCUCCUGCAUCUCCUGCAGUGGCAAAUGGAUUCUUUACUACUAAGCCACCUGGGCAGUCCCUUUGUAUCACAGAACAGCUGAACCCUAUAGGCAUUUCCACUAUGACAACUGGCAGAAUGUUAGGUUUGGCCAAUAGAGGGUGCUGGAAAGACACUGGGAAGCCAGAACAAGAGCAAGGACUUUCUCCUUCAGGUGGAUUGGCUUGCAGCAGAGGCCUGCUUGUGUUCACCUCAGCAAUCCUCGCGGUUCGCUUGUGCGGCCCCUGCCUCCAGCAAGUUUCUUCACCACAAGUGGACUGUGGACUGUAGGUUCCUGCGACAGCCAUGCCCUCUCCUCCUCAGCCAAGGGUAGCAGCUAUUCUUAUAGUUCCUGCUUCUAGACCCCUGAGAACCUACUCUCCCAUUUUUAGUAGUUAGAUACCUUUUACUGGUCAACAAAGUUUAUAUUAAAUUUUCCCUGUUCAAAUUACUAUUAUGAUUUCUGUCUUGUGGUUGGUCCCAGCAGAAAUACCUAGCAGAUAAGGGAAAAAAGACAGAUGUAAGUUAAUGUAAAUUCUGUGAGAGAAUAGGCCACUAUAAUCACAGCCCCAAAUCCAAAAAAGUUUCAGGUGUAAAUCUACAGAAUUAUGUAUCAGUUUGGAUUGUGUUCAACUGCACAUAACAGAAACCUGACUCAGUGGCUUAACCAAAUAGAUUGAUUUUCUCCUGUACCAUGA